GAUGAAGAACGCAGCGAAAUGCGAUAAGUAAUGUGAAUUGCAGAAUUCAGUGAAUCAUCGAAUCUUUGAACGCAUCUUGCGCUCCUUGGUAUUCCUUGGAGCAUGCCUGUUUGAGUAUCAUGAGCAAAUCUCAAAGUCAAUUCCUUUUGUUGAUUCAAUUGGUUUUGCUUUGGACUUGGAGGCCUUGCAGAUUUCACAGUCUGCUCCUCUUAAAUGCAUUAGCUGGAUCUCAGUAAUUAUGCUUGGUUCCAAUCGGCGUGAUAAGUAUCACUCGCUGAGGACACUGUUAAAAAGGUGGCCAGGAAAAUACUGAUUGAACCGCUUCUAACGGUCUAUUAAGUUAGACAAUUACCCUUAAGUUUGAUCUCAAAUCAGGUAGGACUACCCGCUGAACUUAAGCAUAUCAAUAAGCGGAGGA
RNAcentral lists this unclassified non-coding RNA (418 nucleotides) under soil metagenome. RNAcentral describes it as "partial contains 5.8S ribosomal RNA, internal transcribed spacer 2, and large subunit ribosomal RNA". The stretch from base 1 to 120 matches the Rfam family "5.8S ribosomal RNA", at positions 35 to 154 of the family's 154-position model. The record is from RNAcentral.